GAUGAAGAACGUAGCGAAAUGCGAUAAGUAAUGUGAAUUGCAGAAUUCAGUGAAUCAUCGAAUCUUUGAACGCACCUUGCGCCCUUUGGCUAUUCCGAAGGGCAUGCCUGUUUGAGUAUCAUGAACACCUCAACUCUCAUGGUUUGCCAUGAUGAGCUUGGACUCUGGGGGUCUUGCCGGCCUAUGGGUCGGCUCCUCUCAAAUUAAUCAGCUUGCCAGUGUUUGGUGGCAUCACAGGUGUGAUAACUAUCUACGCUUGUGGUUUUCCAUCAGGUAACCUUCAGUGAUGGAGGUUCGCUGGGGCUCAUAAAUGUCUCUCCUCAGUGAGGACAGCUUUUUUGAACGUUUGAUCUCAAAUCAGGUAGGACUACCCGCUGAACUUAAGCAUAUCAAUAAGCGGAGGA
RNAcentral lists this unclassified non-coding RNA (404 nucleotides) under soil metagenome. RNAcentral's name for it is "partial contains 5.8S ribosomal RNA, internal transcribed spacer 2, and large subunit ribosomal RNA". The stretch from base 1 to 121 matches the Rfam family "5.8S ribosomal RNA", at positions 35 to 154 of the family's 154-position model. The record is from RNAcentral.